Molecule: long non-coding RNA, 553 nt
Filed under: Androctonus crassicauda
Lineage: Eukaryota; Metazoa; Arthropoda; Arachnida; Scorpiones; Buthidae
Source: RNAcentral
UAGCAUCCCACAGUUUGGAAAACAUUGCCUUAUGUAAUUUGAAAUUUUUAAUAUUAUAUUUUGAUUUAUGAUAUAUUGUUCUAUGCAAUGCUAUACUGUGCUUAUAUGUUGAUUCUUAAGAGAUUACUGUACAACAAUAAUGUCUGCAAAAAAACAGAUCUAAAUAUAGUCUUUAAUUUACGACAGGGUUCAGUUUCAGACACCAUAGUCGUAAGUUGUAAUUAUCUCACCAAUACGGACACACUAUAUUAUCUUAAUGUAAAUAACACUAAACUGCAAGAACAAGACACAAAGUAAUGCUUUCCAUACAUCACAUCGUUGUAUCAGGGACUCUAAUCCAUUGAACUGCAUUAAUGGAUUACAUCAUAAGUAUGAGCGGUCAUAAGUCAAAGAUUACCUGUAUACUGUAUUUUAUGUACUUGUUAAUUUUCGUAAGUUAAUAUAUUUAAGAAUAUUCACAUCAAAAAAUUGAAUUAGUUGUUAAAAGUUUACAUUGUAUUAAAAAUGAAAAUAAAAAAUACCUUAUCUUUAUCAAUCUCGUCAACAAUUUUAC